RNAcentral lists this ribosomal RNA (253 nucleotides) under uncultured bacterium. Its description in RNAcentral is "partial 16S ribosomal RNA". It matches the Rfam family "Bacterial small subunit ribosomal RNA", at positions 524 to 776 of the family's 1533-position model. The record is from RNAcentral.
UACGUAGGGUGCAAGCGUUAAUCGGAAUUACUGGGCGUAAAGCGUGCGCAGGCGGUUUUGUAAGUCUGAUGUGAAAUCCCCGGGCUCAACCUGGGAAUUGCAUUGGAGACUGCAAGGCCAGAAUCUGGCAGAGGGGGGUAGAAUUCCACGUGUAGCAGUGAAAUGCGUAGAGAUGUGGAGGAACACCGAUGGCGAAGGCAGCCCCCUGGGUCAAGAUUGACGCUCAUGCACGAAAGCGUGGGGAGCAAACAGG